Long non-coding RNA from Hippopotamus amphibius kiboko, 3599 nucleotides. RefSeq lists it as uncharacterized. The record is from RefSeq and is a predicted model, not a curated record. The transcript has 4 exons. Lineage: Eukaryota; Metazoa; Chordata; Mammalia; Artiodactyla; Hippopotamidae.
CGGGGGCGGCGCGGGCCGCGCGGUGCUGCGGGCCGGGCUCGGGCCGGGCCGGGGCCCAGCGCAUCCUCUUCCGCCCGCCGGGCCCGCCCCGACAGCAGCUACAAGGCCACAUCACAAGGUACUCCACAUCCCACGGGACCAGGUGUGCCCAAAACCCUCAGAAGGAAGCCGGAAGAAAGGAGUGAUGCCUCGUGCUGGGGGGUGGGGAGGUUGUCCUGUGACCUGAACUGUGUCUGCAAGGAGCACGCUGGAGCUCUAUUUGAAGCUGACUUUUUUCGUCUUCCUAAACUGUGAGGUUCAUCUCUCUGAUGCAUCUGGGAAAGGACCUCUGCUUUUAAGGACUCGUAUGAUUAGACUGGGCACAAGCAUGUAAACCAGGAUCAUCUCCCCAUCUCAGAAUGAAUAUCUUGAAUUGCAGCUGUAAAGUCCCUUUUGCCAUGUUCAAACCUGCUGGGAUGCUUACUCCACCUCUGGAUGAAAUCUGAAACUGAAAUCCUGGAGGAAAUCUGACGUUCCCAGCCUCUCUCUCCAGCCAGGAUUUUAAAUGUCCAGUCCCAUAUAAUAGUCAGAACCUCAAAAGUACAGCUUGUCCCCGCCCCCAGCUCCUGGAGGGGAGGGGCUGGGAUACUGUUUUUCCACCUGGGUUGCUAGCAGUGGUCUCUGCGUGCUCCAGAACUGCAGGAAGAAGCCCCAGAGAAGGUGACAGGCAAGGUUUGCCUGGACUGGGAGGUCCUGGGCUGGCAUCACUGCUCACUGAUCUCAGCAGAUAUUGAAAGCUUAUCACACCAGGCACUUUGCAUGGUCUUUGGAGAUUUCAACAGGGAAGAGCGGACUUCUGCUAUCCUUUUGACUCCUGUGAAAACACCUUCUCUGGCUGGUCUUUUGUUAUUUGUAAUUCCAUCCCCAGUCCUUGGAGAUUAGACCUCUUCCACUGAGGUCUCUUCUCCCCCCAGGCGAUCCAUUGGGAAGAUCAAAGACUCUCCCAGAUGUACACCUGGUCCCCAGAAGCUCCCACCUUGAACUGGCUCUCAGGGAAAGAGUGUCACCGCCAAGGGGUGCUUUAGCCAGGCACCCCCUCCCCACCUUUAGAUUUCUCAGGUGGGAGUUGUUGCACCAGGCCCUGGGGGACUUGUGUUGCCUUCUGAGCUCUCUCGGUAAAGAUCCCUUCACCAGCUGGAGGUAAGAGGAAGCAAGUCCCCUCUCCUCCACGGGGGGGCGAUAUGCACGGGACACUGAAAAGCAUUCUUCACUCGUCUCCGCUGUGCUGCAUCUUUUUUCUCCCUCGAAGUGGUUAUUGAGCUGAUGGACACAGAGCAGUCCCUUGACCCCUCCUUCACAUGUUUUCCCCCUGGAGUUGGGAAUGAGUGGCCUCUCAAGGCUGGACCUGUGACUGAAAUGGAGCCCGUGAGUCCCUUUUGAACAUCUCAACAUGCUUUUAAUGACCCAAAGAUUGAGGGCAAAGCAAGGAUUUCUUUUUCUUCUUUCUUUCUUUCUUUCUUUCUUUCUUUCUUUCUUUCUUUCUUUCUUUCUUUCUUUCUUUCUUUCUUUCUUUCUUUCUUUCUUUCUUUCUUUUUCUUUCUUGCUUUCUUGCUUCCUUUCUUUCUUGCUUUCUUUUCAUCUUUUAAGAGCUUGCUUCAUACUGAAUCUAAAAGGUGAAAUAUUCUCAGCAGAAUUCAAGAGACCCAUGCAAAUCACUGAGCAAUUUCAGGAGACCCAGAAAAUUCCCCCAAAACAGGAGUCACUGAUGCAGCAGCUAAUGCAGGUCUUUACAGCCUGCCCAGAGCAUCAGUGACUGGAAUUCUUCUCCAUUUGGAUGAGUUUUGUCGGGAAUAUGAUUGAUUUCCCCACCUAACCUAAUCAGGAAGGAACCCAGGCACCGUCUCAGGCCAUUUCACACACAUAUAUCACCUCCACGAGUGACCACCCCGUGGGCGGGCACCACUCAGCCCUCCUUUUACCCCCUGGUUCUAUGCCGUGCCAGGCACACGAGAGGAUCUGGGCAAAGCCUGAAUUGAAUUACAGUCGCCUGAUAAAGUGGGGCUAUCCACAGAGACCUGGAAUUUAUUCUUCAAGGAGUUUACUCUUCUCCUUAAAAAAAUUCUUUUUAAUUAGAUUUUAGAUAUAAAAAGAUCAAUCUGCUGCUUUAUUUUAUUACUCUUCUGUUAUAUUAAAUUGUAACCUUUGGUGGCUUAGGCUUGUAAUGAGUGAAGUCUAUAAAACAAAAUAGCAGGCAUGUUAAACCUUUUUCAAAAGUGGGCCCUUAAAGUCCUCCUGCAGGAAGGCCAGGUGUCCUAAUAUACAAAGAAAGAGGACAUCGUGUUUUAUUGUCUACCUGCCUACCUAAUAUCCAUAUUCCCCUUCUUCUACUAAGAAAUCCUUGAUUUUUUACAGUGUGGCAGUGUACACAGUUAUAACACUACAUUUCCAAGCUUCUCUUGCCACUAAAUAUGGCCAUGUGAUUAAAUUCUGGCCAAUGAGAUGUAAGCAGAAAUUGUCAAGUAUUAUAGAAUUUAUGAAAAGGGGGGUAGACAGCUGGCAUGUGCUUUUUUUCAUAUUCUUCCUCCACCUGCUCCUCGCUUCUUGCCUGGAAUGCUGAUAUGAUAGCUGGGGCUCCAGCAACUCUCUUGGCUUGUGAGGCGACAGUGAGACUGGAAGUCACAUGCUAAGAAUGGCAGAAUAAAAAGGUAGGAGGAGUCCAGGUCUCUGAUGACACUGUGGACCUUUGACCUUUUGAUUUUUUUUAUAUGAAAGAGAAAGAAACCUCUAUUUUGUUUAUCUCUUUACUUAUGGCAUCUGUCAUUUAUACAGUUCUUAUUUGUUACAUCUGUUGUAAAGGAUCACUUAAGCACCCAUCAUUUUAUUUUACCCGUUUUGGAAGGAAAUCUCUCUAGAAUACAUUGCAUACUCUCUUCCUUUUUAAAAUCAAGUCUAUAGUGGACAUAGGGUUGCUAGGUAAAAUACAGGAUGCCCAGUCAACUUGAAUUUCAGAUAAGCAACAAAGAGGUUUUUGAUUAAAAGCAUGCCCCCAUUAUUACAUGGGACAUACUUAGACUAAAAAAUAAUUUGUUGUUAUCCGAAAUUAAAAUUAAACUGAGACUCCUGUGUUUUUGUUUGCUGACUCUGCUAAUCCUAACCUAACAGGCUCUUUUCCUGCUGUUACCUACGAUGAGGUGUACGGGGAUGCACUGGGGGCCUAGUGAGGUGUGGAGGGCUCUUAGUCCUUAUGGAAACAGACCAGAUUGCCAUGCUUUUAAUUCUUAUUCUGCUCUUUCUGAUGUUCCCAUCUCUUCUUUGGUUGCCAGUCUAUCAAUCGCCCUGUCUGCUGCUCUCUAAAUGAGCCUGCCUGUCUUAGCCCUUUACCCCGCUGAUGACGGGGGAAUCUGUGGGCAACCACGGUGUUUGAAGCACAUUCCUUGGAGCUGAAAGUCUGGGUCCCACUCCAGGUCCCCCCACUUUCAACUCUAUGGCCUGGGCCAGCUCAUUUGACCUGUCUGAGCUUGGUUCCUGCCUAAUAAUAAGGGGGUAGUCAGAGCCGCCUCCUGGGUUAUGUGAGGCUUAAAUGUGGGAAGUGCUGGGGCAGCACCAGACCUUAGCAAGUA